CGCCAUUCUCCUGCCUCAGUCUCCCGAGUAGUUAGGACUACGGGCGCCCCCACCAUGCCUAGCUAAAUUUUUUUGGUAUUUUUAGUAAAGACGGGGUUUUACCGUGUUAGCCAGGAUGGUCUCGAUCUCCUGACCUCGUAAUCCGCUCACCUUGGCCUCCCAAAGUGCUGGUAUUACAGGAGUGAGCCACUGCGCCUGGCCAGCGUUCCUAUUAUUAUUGCUCUUCUGGAAUGAGAGCAGGCAGCUGCCGGGAUCCCAGCCGGAAGGGGCGGGCGAAAGGCAGGGUUGCUGGGGGCGGGCGAAAGGCAGGGUUGCUGGAGGCGCGCGUAGGUUCGAGUAGGGACUGGAAUGCGGGCCAACAGUGUGGGGGUUAUUAGGGGGGAGGGUAGGCAGGUCGGAGGAGGGAGUUGGGAGGAAAGCGGCGGCGGUGGCGGCUUCAACAGCAGCUCUUGCCCUUAAGGAACAAUGAAACACAAAGAUGGUGCAGACCCAGGCCCUGCUUUGACUGGGAGAAAGAUGCAUUCAGUUGACUAAAACUUGAACCACAGCAUGUUCCGAAGAGAUGAUUGGAAGAUGGAAGUGGAGGGUUAAAUAAUGAAAUGCAGCUAACAUUUCGGAAAGUUUCUAAAAGUUGUACAACAUGCCCUACAGCUACUCUUUAAAUCUCCAAAUCAAAUGAGUUUCAGGUGGAGCCUCUGGGAGGUGAUGAGGUCAUGAGAGUGGAGCCUCAUGAAUGGGAUGAGCACUCCUACAAAAAGGAUUCCAGAGAGCUCGCUUGCUCCUUCCACAGUGUGAGGACACAGAGGGAAGGCUCUGUCUAUGAAUGAGAAAGUGGGUCCCCACCAGACAUUGAAUCUGCCGCAUCUUGAUACUGGACUUCCAGUCUCCAGAACUGUGGGCAAUAAAUGUCUGUUGUUUAUUACCUGUCCAGUAUCUUUGGUAUUUUGCUAUAGCAACCCAAAUGGACUAAGAAAACACCAGAGGCCAUACCUAAUAAAAAUAUUGACAUCAC
This 1012-nucleotide long non-coding RNA is filed under the name Homo sapiens (human). Its description in RNAcentral is "HSALNT0409447". The record is from RNAcentral. Lineage: Eukaryota; Metazoa; Chordata; Mammalia; Primates; Hominidae.